UAGCUCAGUCAGUUGAGCGUGGCGCUAGCAACGCCAAGGUUGCGGGGUUCGAUUCCCGU
RNAcentral lists this transfer RNA (59 nucleotides) under Apaloderma vittatum (bar-tailed trogon). It matches the Rfam family "tRNA", at positions 8 to 63 of the family's 71-position model. Rfam says of the family: Transfer RNA (tRNA) molecules are approximately 80 nucleotides in length. Their secondary structure includes four short double-helical elements and three loops (D, anti-codon, and T loops). Further hydrogen bonds mediate the characteristic L-shaped molecular structure. tRNAs have two regions of fundamental functional importance: the anti-codon, which is responsible for specific mRNA codon recognition, and the 3' end, to which the tRNAs corresponding amino acid is attached (by aminoacyl-tRNA synthetases). tRNAs cope with the degeneracy of the genetic code in two manners: having more than one tRNA (with a specific anti-codon) for a particular amino acid; and 'wobble' base-pairing, i.e. permitting non-standard base-pairing at the 3rd anti-codon position. Lineage: Eukaryota; Metazoa; Chordata; Aves; Trogoniformes; Trogonidae. The record is from Rfam by way of RNAcentral.